Molecule: ribosomal RNA, 460 nt
Filed under: uncultured bacterium
Lineage: Bacteria
Description: partial 16S ribosomal RNA
Rfam family: Bacterial small subunit ribosomal RNA
Source: RNAcentral
CCUACGGGUGGCAGCAGUGAGGAAUAUUGGUCAAUGGACGGAAGUCUGAACCAGCCACGCCGCGUGAAGGAAGAAGGCUCUAUGAUUUGUAAACUGCUUUUGUAGAGGCGUAAACCUGAACACGUGUAUAUAGUUGAAAGUACUCUAUGAAUAAGCCUCGGCUAACUCCGUGCCAGCAGCCGCGGGAAUACUGAGGAUUCAAGCGUUAUCCGGAUUUAUUGGGGGUAAAGGGUGCGUAGGUGGGCAUUUAAGUCGGAGGUGAAAUGUCGUGGCUCAAACCCCGGCUUGCGGUCGAAACUGGGUGCCUUGAGUGUGCGAGAGGUAGGCGGAAUGCGUGGUGUAGCGGUGAAAUGCAUAGAUAUCACGCAGAACCCCGAUUGCGAAGGCAGCAUACCGGCCCCCAACUGACGCUGAGGCACGAAAGCGUGGGGAUCAAACAGGAUUAGAUACCCGGGUAGUC